Salvia miltiorrhiza (redroot sage) is the source of this 81-nucleotide small nucleolar RNA. RefSeq annotates it as small nucleolar RNA snoR14. The record is from RefSeq and is a predicted model, not a curated record. The transcript has a single exon. NCBI's taxonomy places the organism in Eukaryota, Viridiplantae, Streptophyta, Magnoliopsida, Lamiales, Lamiaceae.
GAGAGGUGACGAUGAAAAUCUUGUCUACCAAUCCACUAAUUCUUGUGAUGUUAAAAGUGAAUCCCGACAGCAUCUGCUCGC